AUUGAACGCUGGCGGCAGGCCUAACACAUGCAAGUCGAACGGUAACAGGAAACAGCUUGCUGUUUCGCUGACGAGUGGCGGACGGGUGAGUAAUGUCUGGGAAACUGCCUGAUGGAGGGGGAUAACUACUGGAAACGGUAGCUAAUACCGCAUAACGUCGCAAGACCAAAGAGGGGGACCUUCGGGCCUCUUGCCAUCGGAUGUGCCCAGAUGGGAUUAGCUUGUUGGUGGGGUAACGGCUGACCAAGGGGACGACCCCUAGCUGGUCUGAGGGGAUGGCCAGCCACACUGGAACUGAGACACGGUCCAGACUCCUACGGGAGGCAGCAGUGGGGAAUAUUGCACAAUGGGCGCAAGCCUGAUGCAGCCAUGCCGCGUGUAUGAAGAAGGCCUUCGGGUUGUAAAGUACUUUCAGCGGGGAGGAAGGGAGUAAAGUUAAUACCUUUACUCAUUGACGUUACCCGCAGAAGAAGCACCGGCUAACUCCGUGCCAGCCGCCGCAGUAA
This 506-nucleotide ribosomal RNA is filed under the name uncultured bacterium. RNAcentral's name for it is "partial 16S ribosomal RNA". It matches the Rfam family "Bacterial small subunit ribosomal RNA", at positions 30 to 523 of the family's 1533-position model. The record is from RNAcentral.